RNAcentral lists this long non-coding RNA (231 nucleotides) under Sorghum bicolor (sorghum). RNAcentral's name for it is "long non-coding RNA (SBIC_LNC013960)". The record is from RNAcentral. Lineage: Eukaryota; Viridiplantae; Streptophyta; Magnoliopsida; Poales; Poaceae.
AGGCUUAUUUAUGAGUGCAUUUGGUUCUUUCGAUUCUUCUAUUGGAUUUUUGUGAUAUCUAUAGGAGUCGCUUAUUGCGACCAUAUGUCUCGUUUGACAGACCCGGAGGAGCCGACGACUGAGGAGUACGACCCCGACUACACUGAGGAGCUCGAGGACGACUUGCCAGGUGCCACGUCCCACCCAACCUCGUAGAAUCCUAUUAGUCAUGCCAUGAAUGUAGAAGCUAGC